AUUGAACGCUGGCGGCAGGCCUAACACAUGCAAGUCGAACGGUAACAGGAAACAGCUUGCUGUUUCGCUGACGAGUGGCGGACGGGUGAGUAAUGUCUGGGAAACUGCCUGAUGGAGGGGGAUAACUACUGGAAACGGUAGCUAAUACCGCAUAACGUCGCAAGACCAAAGAGGGGGACCUUCGGGCCUCUUGCCAUCGGAUGUGCCCAGAUGGGAUUAGCUAGUAGGUGGGGUAACGGCUCACCUAGGCGACGAUCCCUAGCUGGUCUGAGAGGAUGACCAGCCACACUGGAACUGAGACACGGUCCAGACUCCUACGGGAGGCGGCAGUGGGGAAUAUUGCACAAUGGGCGAAAGCCUGAUGCAGCAAUGCCGCGUGUAUGAAGAAGGCCUUCGGGUUGUAAAGUACUUUCAGCGGGGAGGAAGGGAGUAAAGUUAAUACCUUUGCUCAUUGACGUUACCCGCAGAAGAAGCACCGGCUAACUCCGUG
RNAcentral lists this ribosomal RNA (490 nucleotides) under uncultured bacterium. RNAcentral describes it as "partial 16S ribosomal RNA". It matches the Rfam family "Bacterial small subunit ribosomal RNA", at positions 30 to 507 of the family's 1533-position model. The record is from RNAcentral.